CUACGGGUGGCAGCAGUGGGGAAUUUUGCGCAAUGGGGGAAACCCUGACGCAGCAAUACCGCGUGAGUGAAGAAGGCCUUUGGGUCGUAAAGCUCUUUUCUUGGGGAAGAUAGUGACGGUACCCAAGGAAUAAGCACCGGCUAACUCCGUGCCAGCAGCCGCGGUAAUACGGAGGGUGCAAGCGUUGUUCGGAUUUACUGGGCGUAAAGGGCACGUAGGCGGCACAGCAAGUUAAGGGUGAAAUCCCGGGGCUCAACUCCGGAACUGCUCUUAAAACUGCUGAGCUAGAGAUAGUCAGAGGCGGGGGGAAUUCCAGGUGUAGAGGUGAAAUUCGUAGAUAUCUGGAGGAACACCGGUGGCGAAGGCGGCCCGCUGGGGCUAUUCUGACGCUAAGGUGCGAAAGCGUGGGGAGCAAACGGGAUUAGAUACCCGCGUAGUC
Molecule: ribosomal RNA, 439 nt
Filed under: uncultured bacterium
Lineage: Bacteria
Description: partial 16S ribosomal RNA
Rfam family: Bacterial small subunit ribosomal RNA
Source: RNAcentral